CCUGCCCAUAGAACUUCCUGAAGUCUACGGGGUUCUUGAUGAUUGUCACAGACAGUGGAGAAGGUCCUCUGGGCAGAACGACCCUCUGAAUGCUGCCAGUCGCUGCUCCUGCCUGGUGGAAGCAACUCUACGAUCGGCGCUGGAGAAGAAAGCCUGGAACUUACGAGAUGGAGCCCUUUGUGCAGAGCCACCAGACAUCCAAGGUCUUUUGUGCUCUUGCUCUUUGCCUGGCCCUCACAAGCCUUGCUGCGGCAUGGCUGCUCCUUGCCAGAAAGGAAGGCUGGGACUCCUUAUGUCGCAAGGCCACACGGCGGUGGGAACAGCGCUACGUCAGGUCUCCCCAGCCCUCGUCCAGGCUAGGGUGGAAUCACGGGGAGAGAAAUAUUUCACAGUGAGUCAAUUGUGCAGGUAACAGCAAAACCAGGCUUCAAAGAAACAUUGAAAACCGUGAAGCUCGGAUCUGCUGCUGGUUGGAAUAUUCUUUCAGCUACUCAAGGCAGAGGGUCACUCCAUCAGUAAGUAUCCUUGGUUCAAAAAUGGAUGCCCUUGCCUAAUCCUGAGGGUUUUCUGUCUCCCCUGUUUCCUGGCAGCCCUGAGUCCCAGUUCCACAGUGAGCCCGCUAAUUAAGACGAUGUUUAUCAAAGUACAGGAAAUCUGCGCCUUAAUGGCUGACUCCAAUCAAGUAAUUUUCCCAGGUUGGGAUUCUUGACUCAACGUCCACAGGGUUCCUGGGAGCUCCUGCUGUUACGUGUAAAACGUCGAGUGCAUUUUGCUCUGUGCACAGAGUCCGUAACCUCCACCAGGUCUUCAGAGGCACUGCUGACUAGUAGGUAACCUUCUUGCAGGGGCUUGGUGAAGGGCUCAGCCAGGAAAGUGCUUGUAGGGCAACAUGAGGAUCUGAAUUCAGAUCCCCAGCAUCCACACACGUGAUAGGGAAGAUUUGUAUUCCUAGCACGUGGGGCGCUGGGAUGGGGAGGUGAUAGGGAAGUAACUGGUGUGCUGGCUAGUUAAUCCUGACAAGUCAGAGAUCUCCAGUGGGAAACCCUAUCUCAAAAAAGGAAAACAGUGGAGCGCAAUUGAGGAAGACAUUCUGUGUCUACCUCUGGCCUUCA
Molecule: non-coding RNA, 1112 nt
Organism: Peromyscus maniculatus bairdii (prairie deer mouse)
Lineage: Eukaryota; Metazoa; Chordata; Mammalia; Rodentia; Cricetidae
Source: RefSeq, a predicted model, not a curated record